CCUACGGGGGGCAGCAGUGGGGAAUUUUGGACAAUGGGCGAAAGCCUGAUCCAGCAAUGCCGCGUGAGUGAAGAAGGCCUUCGGGUUGUAAAGCUCUUUUGUCAGGGAAGAAACGGUGAGGGCUAAUAUCCUUCGCUAAUGACGGUACCUGAAGAAUAAGCACCGGCUAACUACGUGCCAGCAGCCGCGGUAAUACGUAGGGUGCAAGCGUUAAUCGGAAUUACUGGGCGUAAAGCGUGCGCAGGCGGUUUUGUAAGUCUGACGUGAAAUCCCCGGGCUCAACCUGGGAAUUGCGUUGGAGACUGCAAGGCUAGAAUCUGGCAGAGGGGGGUAGAAUUCCACGUGUAGCAGUGAAAUGCGUAGAGAUGUGGAGGAACACCGAUGGCGAAGGCAGCCCCCUGGGUCAAGAUU
This 411-nucleotide ribosomal RNA is filed under the name uncultured Peptoniphilus sp. RNAcentral's name for it is "bacterial SSU rRNA". It matches the Rfam family "Bacterial small subunit ribosomal RNA", at positions 338 to 741 of the family's 1533-position model. Lineage: Bacteria; Bacillati; Bacillota; Tissierellia; Tissierellales; Peptoniphilaceae. The record is from RNAcentral.